UCUCCGCUCCCUCCCUUGUGUCGCCUCGAUUCAUUUUUUUGCUCUCUUAAUCUCAGUCAGCUUCCAAUUUCCAAUGUCCAACUUCCAACAACCACGCAGACACGGUCCACUCGAUUCAGUCCUGAAAUUCCCAGAGGGCAUUGCUUCAUUUUUAACUUUUGCAAACAAUUAAUCGAAUUUAAAAAAUGGAGGUAGACUUGUGUAAUUUCAAACACAUUUCCAUGAACGUUUUUGAACAUGCGAAUAACACAUUUAGCUACAUUUUAUUAUUUAGUGUUUCUUCAUAAUCUGUGAGAAGGCAAUUGUGUAAACAGCGCUAUAAAAAUCAAUAAAUCUUGACUGACUGAUUGAUGCUCUGUUAUUGUGCACCACUGUCUCGCUCUUUGGAAACUCGUGUGUGCCUGCCCGGGUUCCGGUUCUCCCUGCUUGAUGCCAGCACCCUCAGAUUAACCGCUGUCGGAGGCUCUGGCCCCGGCGGCGCUAACCUGAAUUUACGGCUGCCUGAAACAGAAAGUGGGCCUUGGAGGACCAUAAAGUCAGAGACCCAUCCAUGGGGGAGGCUGUUGGAAAGACCCCCACCCAACAAAUGGUUCAGUCCAUCCCCACCUGACUACAACAGCUCCAAGGGGAAAUGUUUUUUGACCAGACCAGUCUGCAAAACCUUUUUGCCAAGCUCUUUGAACUGGGAGGAUUUGGCUUUCUCUGAAAGUCUGACUGAGUUUUUCUGUGAGGAAAACAAAAGAUGUAGACAUUGUUUGUGAAACAAUGCCACAUCUAAACGUGCAAAAUCAGAAAGAAACAGCAAAAAACAAUCUGGAAAUCAGAUCACAAGUCAAGAAUUUACCAAUUACCUCAUCUCCUGCUUGUCAAACUAACAAAGAGAUAACUUUGGGCAGCAACUGUCAUUUUCUCUUCCCCUUACCGCUCUCCACUUGAUCAGCUGUAACGUAAGUUUGUCAGUGACUGGGUACUGCUGCUACAUCCAAGGACCAAAUUAAAAUAUCAAAUUCUU
This is a long non-coding RNA of Acanthopagrus latus (yellowfin seabream), 1012 nucleotides long. RefSeq lists it as uncharacterized. Lineage: Eukaryota; Metazoa; Chordata; Actinopteri; Spariformes; Sparidae. The record is from RefSeq and is a predicted model, not a curated record. The transcript has 2 exons.